UUGUCCUUCUUGGCAGCUUUGGAGCCUGAAUCCAGGCACAGCCAGAAUUGCAAGAACGAGGAUUUCAGAGAUCAGAAAGAGCAGAGGAAACCAACCACCGUGCUGCUGCAAACUCCUGGGAGCUGCAAAAUGAAAAAGAAGAGCGUGCAGAUUCCUUGAGCACCCAAGAAGAGUCACCAGUGAUGUUUAUCCAUUCUCCAGAUGAAGAUGAAGCAGGAGGCAAUUACAGCCAGUACUUUUUUAGAGCUCUUAAACACACCCAACAGCUAUUUGGUGCUUCCUUUUAGAGGAAAAGAAAGCAGGGCUGGCUCAGUUUCUCCCACUAGCAUGAUCCAGAGGAGCUCUUCCUUUAGACACGUAAGCAACAACCUCCAGUCCAUGGCCAACUCACUUUCUACUCAACUUUGGAGAUAGAUAUGAAAAUGUAUAAAU
Molecule: long non-coding RNA, 432 nt
Organism: Fukomys damarensis (Damara mole-rat)
Lineage: Eukaryota; Metazoa; Chordata; Mammalia; Rodentia; Bathyergidae
Exons: 3
Source: RefSeq, a predicted model, not a curated record